RNAcentral lists this ribosomal RNA (254 nucleotides) under uncultured bacterium. RNAcentral's name for it is "partial 16S ribosomal RNA". It matches the Rfam family "Bacterial small subunit ribosomal RNA", at positions 524 to 776 of the family's 1533-position model. The record is from RNAcentral.
UACGUAGGGGGCUAGCGUUGUCCGGAAUUAUUGGGCGUAAAGAGCUCGUAGGCGGUGUGUCGCGUCGGCCGUGAAAACCUGCAGCUUAACUGUGGGCUUGCGGUCGAUACGGGCAUCACUGGAGUUCGGCAGGGGAGACUGGAAUUCCUGGUGUAGCGGUGAAAUGCGCAGAUAUCAGGUGGAACACCGGUGGCGAAGGCGGGUCUCUGGGCCGAUACUGACGCUGAGGAGCGAAAGCGUGGGGAGCGAACAGG